Molecule: long non-coding RNA, 3680 nt
Organism: Microtus oregoni (creeping vole)
Lineage: Eukaryota; Metazoa; Chordata; Mammalia; Rodentia; Cricetidae
Exons: 3
Source: RefSeq, a predicted model, not a curated record
GCCAGUUGACUCCGAGGCGCGCACAGCGCAUCCCUGCGGGUCGCGGAAGUGACGCGGGGCACCCCGGCAAGAGAGCGUUUGAAUCGGUUCCCGGGUUGCUUCCAGGCCGCAGCCGAGGAGGUGCUGCGCCGCUGGCCUAGACCCCGAGCCAUGGCUGCUGGAGCCGAGGGCACGCGCGGAGUGGGCGUCGCCGCGAAGUGCUCCCGAGGGAGGGCCGUGGGGUGUUCACUGCAAUAUGGCAGUGACGGGCGCCAGCAAUCCCGGAGGCCUCUCGGCGGGCUCUGGGACAGGCGGAGGCGUCGAUGACUGCAGGACCGUGUACUUGUUUGACCGGCGCGGGAAGGAGUCGGAGCUCGGGGAGCGCGCACUGCAGGUCUGCAGGCUCUGAGGGUUCCGCGCUGCUGUGUGUCAGGUAACGACCAGAUGUUAAAGAAGAGACUGGAGAUGGUGGAGGUGCAGGGCCAGGGUCUGCCGUAGUGAAUGAGGAGGUGGAGUCAAGCCCCUGGUGUUCCUGUUCUUGUAGUAACAGGGAACACUGUCAAGUCUUCAGCAGAAUGCACCAUGUCCACAAAGAUCCAUUUGGACAACCUGAAAAAGGAGACCAUGAAUUCAACUGACAUUUUGGACUAUUUAAUAGAGGUAUCUGUUGUACAUGUGGCUUUAGUUCAACAUAAAUACAGCAUUUUUCUCUGGAAACAUAACCUGAGUUGGAAAGGAAACCUGAAGAGAAGACACUUGAGUUCACCAACUUGUUUCUCCUCAGCAUGUUAGCAAUGAUCCCAAAGGAGGGUUCUGGCAGCAGUUCAGGACUCAGGCCCAGGGCAGGAAUGAGGGAAGACUCCUUGUAUGUCAAAGGCCCUGCUCAAGUCCAAGGCCUGCACUUGUGUUCCCCUGCUCAGCUUCAGAUUCCUCACACAGCCCCGGAACGAGGUCUGGCUGGUCAGACAGUUCUGCUUGACGUGGGCUGUUGAGAAAACAAGACAUAAGCCUUGCUCAAUUUUGUUGAUAGGGUAAGUUGUACAUUAGGAACAAAAAAUUAUCUAAGUGGAUCUUCUAUCAAACUAGGCUAUUUCCCACACACGUGGCUUUAGCGGAUGGCAGAAUUCCUCGGAACUGUUAACACUUGAAGACAUAGCCGCGACUUGAAAAAUCAUGCAACAGGCGUUAAGGAUUUGCAGUAAUUUCUCGGGACAUCUUAAAUGCUCAAUUCAAAAUGCAAAAUUGGUGCAAGAGGGUGAAGCCUGCCUAACCCUGUGACCUUGGAACCAUCUAGGGAAGAAGUACGAUCAUCCCACCUGCUUGCCAUCAGAACCAAUGUUCUCAAUGAGAAAUGUGUGUGUGAGGGUUAUGCUAAAUUCCCCAAGAAUGUUUAGGUAUGAUAUUCCAAACAGCUUUUCUAAAACGGUGAGACUUGUCACUGAACCGUGUAUCUCUCUAUCCCUAGCCUGUAUUCCUCUGAGGUUCUACCUUCCUGGGACUGGGCUUCCCAUAAGGUAAAGAGACUGGAGUCAUACAUACCAGGAUAGCCGCCCACAUAAAUGGGAUCAUUAGUGUCGGCCGAGGUGGAAUGGGUGUGAGGACUUUCAGCCCUAACAGGAUUCCCAUCCACAGUCAGGGCAAUGCGGUGUUUGCUUUUCUGGGCUUGGAGCAUGUGCCAUUUCCCGUCACAGAGAGUUCUGGAGGCUCUGGGCUCGUAUGUGGCUGUUAUCCUACCAGCGCCAUUGUUGACGUGAAAUAAGACCUGAAGAAAGCAAACACUUGGGUGAGGUUUUCUGUUCAAGACCACCGUCUUCUUUGCACUAGAUCUCAACCAGAAGACCAAGAAGCCAUGGAGCACAGAGCAUUGAUGAAUUGUUCCCACUGUGGGAAAUCUAAGGGCCAAGAACCUGGAAAUGAAAUGCUAAAAACAAGCAAGUAGGUUCAUGGGAGCCUGCAAGGAGACUUCUGUUCCACUGGACUUCUCUGUGUGCUCUGGUGCCUCCUACUUACGUGGACACAGUCAGAUUGGCUCAGAGCUCACAUCAGUGACCUCACUUUAAUCGAGUUAUCCUUUCAUUCACAUUUAUUUAUUGUGUGUAUCUGUGUGCCCAUGCAUGAGCACAUGCAGAAACCACAGACCAACUUGCUGGAAUUGGUUCUUUCCUACCAUCCUGUGGAUUCUGGGGGUUGAACUGAGGUUGUUAGAAUUGGCACCUGGCAUUUAUGCCCAGGAAGCCAUCUCGCUAGCUCCUAAUUACCUCCUUAAAGUCUAAACAAGAUCACAUCCUGAGAGGUGAGAGUAGGUAGGGCUUUAGCAUGUGAAUUUGAGGGACACCAUCUUCGUUGCCUUCCAAAGGGAACACUGAAGCAUCUUAUAAUAAAACUGGUGUCAGAGCUCACCAGGAGAGGGAAACCCAAGACGCCAAUGUCCAUAGUUUCUGUGGCUUAAGUGUGGCACGGUAUACAUGCCCAUUUCUCUCAUGUGCCAGAUAGUGGGAUGGAUGGUAGCUCCAGCUGAAGAUGCAGCCCUGGCGAAGACACUUGGGAAGUCUAGUCCCCAAGGGUUGAAGUGUACAUGGUCUAGGAGGUGUCACCACCCAGUGGCAGCACUGAGACCUCAGGCCAUUUGUGCCAACAGUCAAACGUAUAUGGGCCCCUGAGGACCAACUUCAGGGGCCCCAACUAACACCCCACAGAAAGAGAGGGGACCCCAACUCCCCUCCGCAUGUUCAUGUGGCCCCAAAGGGGAGGAAAGGGAGAAUGAACACCAGGAACAGCUAUGGCAUGGAGGUAGGGCACCUACCUUGCCGUCUACAAUCUCUAGGCCAAUGGCAUCCACUUUGGCACUGCUGAUUCCCAGAAGGACACCAUUCUUAGAGGAGGUGCGGAACUCCAGGGUGAUGUUUAAAUCUAAUCGCACUCUGUAGCCUUCCUUGACUGAAAAACACGGCACACUGUUACUGAGAGAACCCACAAGAUGGACUUUCCAGGCUGCCUUUGGCUGGCUAAGCAUUCAUGGUAUUGGCCAAGUUCAAGAUCAUGCUACACUCCCACCCCAUCCUCUGGGUCUCAGCUCCUCCAUUCCCCAGUAAGAAGAAGCAUUGCUUUUUUUUCCCUGCUUCUGUUUGUUUUAAUGGAGUCUUGCUAUGUAGUCAAGCUGUCCUGACUCUGCGUCCUGAGUGCUGAGAUCACGGAUGUACACAACCAUUGGUACAUUGGUACACUGCCAUUGAAGAGGGUGUCCAGUCACAAAUUAGAGCAAGCACCGGCAGGGACUUCCGUCAUCUGCAGCCCUGGGGACAUCUCGUGCCUUCAGUCUGGUGAUCUUUCUAUGUGUUGUAGAUUUAUCCCCCUUAGACUUUAGCUUCUUAAUUUGUAUGUACCUUGGAUAGCAUCAUUUACUGGUUUGAAUCAGCCUCUACAGUAGGUGUUUUCAAAGUGGGAAUUGAAUAAUUUUAUUCUUUAAUUCAAGGGACAAAAAGAGUUGGAUAUUGUUAAUAGAAGGCAUUUGUCACCAUGCCUGGGGUUGACAAUAGAAGGCAUUUGUCACCAUGCCUGGGGUUGACAAUAGAAGGCAUUUGUCACCAUGCCUGGGGUUGACAAUAGAAGUCAUUUGUCACAUGCCUGGGGCUGAAUAAAAAGGGAAAGGUGAUGCUAUCAUAGCCUAGACAGAAUAAAUGUCCUACUGGCAUAUGUUGGAA